GAUGAACGCUGGCGGCGUGCCUAAUACAUGCAAGUCGAGCGAACAGACGAGGAGCUUGCUCCUCUGACGUUAGCGGCGGACGGGUGAGUAACACGUGGAUAACCUACCUAUAAGACUGGGAUAACUUCGGGAAACCGGAGCUAAUACCGGAUAAUAUAUUGAACCGCAUGGUUCAAUAGUGAAAGACGGUUUUGCUGUCACUUAUAGAUGGAUCCGCGCCGCAUUAGCUAGUUGGUAAGGUAACGGCUUACCAAGGCAACGAUGCGUAGCCGACCUGAGAGGGUGAUCGGCCACACUUGAACUGAGACACGGUCCAGACUCCUACGGGAGGCAGCAGUAGGGAAUCUUCCGCAAAGGGCGGAAGCCUGACGGAGCAACGGCGCGUGAGUGAUGAAGGUCUUCGGAUCGUAAAACUCUGUUAUUAGGGAAGAACAAAUGUGUAAGUAACUAUGCACGUCUUGACGGUACCUAAUCAGAAAGCCACGGCUAACUACGUG
RNAcentral lists this ribosomal RNA (497 nucleotides) under uncultured bacterium. RNAcentral describes it as "partial 16S ribosomal RNA". It matches the Rfam family "Bacterial small subunit ribosomal RNA", at positions 28 to 507 of the family's 1533-position model. The record is from RNAcentral.